AUGCGCGNCNUANCAUGCAGUCGACGCUGAAGCCCCAGCUUGCUGGGGUGGAUGAGUGGCGAACGGGUGAGUAACACGUGAGUAACCUUCCCUUGACUCUGGGAUAAGCCUGGGAAACCGGGUCUAAUACCGGAUACGACCUCUCACCGCAUGGUGGGGGGUGGAAAGAUUUAUCGGUCUUGGAUGGACUCGCGGCCUAUCAGCUGGUUGGUGGGGUAAUGGCCCACCAAGGCGACGACGGGUAGCCGGCCUGAGAGGGUGACCGGCCACACUGGGACUGAGACACGGCCCAGACUCCUACGGAAGGCAGCAGA
RNAcentral lists this ribosomal RNA (314 nucleotides) under Micrococcus sp. UNB-15-20. RNAcentral's name for it is "bacterial SSU rRNA". It matches the Rfam family "Bacterial small subunit ribosomal RNA", at positions 54 to 354 of the family's 1533-position model. The record is from RNAcentral. Lineage: Bacteria; Bacillati; Actinomycetota; Actinomycetes; Micrococcales; Micrococcaceae.